This 468-nucleotide ribosomal RNA is filed under the name uncultured bacterium. RNAcentral's name for it is "partial 16S ribosomal RNA". It matches the Rfam family "Bacterial small subunit ribosomal RNA", at positions 28 to 507 of the family's 1533-position model. The record is from RNAcentral.
GACGAACGCUGGCGGCGUGCUUAACACAUGCAAGUCGAACGGAAAGGCCCUGUUGGUGGUAGGUGCGCGGGUAGCGGGCGGGUAAGAAGCGGGUGAGUAGCCUUCCCCUGAGGGUGGAGUCAGGGCAAGUGAGUGUGACACAGGCCGGGUACGAGCUCCUGCUUGAGGGGGGGGGUGGGAAAUUUUCGUCGGUUGGGGAUGGACUCGCGGCGCAUGAGCUUGUUGGUGGGGUAGUGGCUUACGAAGGCUGUUACGGGUAGCCGGCCUGAGGGGGUGACCGGCAACAUUGGGACUGGGAUCCGGCCCAGACUCCUACGGGAGGCAGCAGUGGGGAAUAUUGCACAAUGGGCGGAAGCCUGAUGCAGCAACGCCGCGUGCGGGAUAACGGCCUUCGGUUUGAAACCCCUUUCCGCAUGUGCCGAGCGGUUAGUGACGGUAAUGGGUGAAGAAGCACCGGCUAACUACGUG